GAGUUUGAUCAUGGCUCAGGAUGAACGCUGGCGGCGUGCUUAACACAUGCAAGUCGAACGAACCUUCGGGUUAGUGGCGGACGGGUGAGUAACGCGUGAGAAUCUGCCCUCAGGAGGGGGAUAACAGCUGGAAACGGCUGCUAAUACCCCAUAUGCCGCGAGGUGAAAUGAAUUUCGCCUGAGGAUGAGCUCGCGUCUGAUUAGCUAGUUGGUGUAGGUAAUGGCUCACCAAGGCAUCGAUCAGUAGCUGGUCUGAGAGGAUGAUCAGCCACACUGGGACUGAGACACGGCCCAGACUCCUACGGGAGGCAGCAGUGGGGAAUUUUCCGCAAUGGGCGAAAGCCUGACGGAGCAACGCCGCGUGAGGGAUGAAGGCCUCUGGGCUGUAAACCUCUUUUAUCAAGGAAGAAGAUCUGACGGUACUUGAUGAAUAAGCCACGGCUAAUUCCGUGCCAGCAGCCGCGGUAAUACGGGAGUGGCAAGCGUUAUCCGGAAUUAUUGGGCGUAAAGCGUCCGCAGGCGGCCCUUCAAGUCUGCUGUUAAAAAGUGGAGCUUAACUCCAUCAUGGCAGUGGAAACUGAGGGGCUUGAGUGUGGUAGGGGCAGAGGGAAUUCCCGGUGUAGCGGUGAAAUGCGUAGAUAUCGGGAAGAACACCAGUGGCGAAGGCGCUCCGCUGGGCCAUCACUGACGCUCAUGGACGAAAGCCAGGGGAGCGAAAGGGAUUAGAUACCCCUGUAGUCCUGGCCGUAAACGAUGAACACUAGGUGUCAGGGGAAUCGACCCCCUCGGUGUCGUAGCCAACGCGUUAAGUGUUCCGCCUGGGGAGUACGCACGCAAGUGUGAAACUCAAAGGAAUUGACGGGGGCCCGCACAAGCGGUGGAGUAUGUGGUUUAAUUCGAUGCAACGCGAAGAACCUUACCAGGGUUUGACAUCCUGCGAAUCUCUUGGAAACGAGAGAGUGCCUUCGGGAGCGCAGUGACAGGUGGUGCAUGGCUGUCGUCAGCUCGUGUCGUGAGAUGUUGGGUUAAGUCCCGCAACGAGCGCAACCCACGUCUUUAGUUGCCAGCAUUUAGUUGGGCACUCUAGAGAGACCGCCGGUGAUAAACCGGAGGAAGGUGUGGAUGACGUCAAGUCAUCAUGCCCCUUACAUCCUGGGCUACACACGUACUACAAUGCUACGGACAAAGGGCAGCAAGUUCGCGAGGACAAGCAAAUCCCAUAAACCGUGGCUCAGUUCAGAUCGUAGGCUGCAACUCGCCUACGUGAAGGAGGAAUCGCUAGUAAUCGCAGGUCAGCAUACUGCGGUGAAUACGCUCCCGGGCCUUGUACACACCGCCCGUCACACCAUGGAAGUUGGCCACGCCCGAAGCCGUUACUCCAACCCUUGUGGAGGAGGACGUCGAAGGUGGGGCUGAUGACUGGGGUGAAGUCGUAACAAGGUAACC
This 1446-nucleotide ribosomal RNA is filed under the name uncultured marine cyanobacterium. Its description in RNAcentral is "bacterial SSU rRNA". It matches the Rfam family "Bacterial small subunit ribosomal RNA". Lineage: Bacteria; Bacillati; Cyanobacteriota. The record is from RNAcentral.